CCUACGGGAGGCAGCAGUGGGGAAUAUUGCACAAUGGGCGAAAGCCUGAUGCAGCAACGCCGCGUGAAGGAAGAAGGUUUUCGGCUCGUAAACUUCUAUCAACAGGGACGAAAGAAAUGACGGUACCUGAAUAAGAAGCACCGGCUAACUAAGUACCAGCAACCGCGGUAAGACGUAGGGGGCAAGCUUUAUACGGAAUUACGGGGUGUAAAGGGUGAGUAGGCGGCAUGGUAAGCCAGAUGUGAAAGCCUUGGGCUUAACCCGAGGAUUGCAUUUGGAACUAUCAAGAUAGAGGACAGGAGAGGAAAGCGGCAUUCCUAGUGUAGCGGUGAAAUGCGGAGAUAUUAGGAAGAACACCAGUGGCGAAGGCGGCUGUCUGGACUGAAACUGACGCUGAGGCACGAAAGCGUGGGGAGCGAACAGGAUUAGAUACCCCUGUAGUC
This 443-nucleotide ribosomal RNA is filed under the name uncultured bacterium. Its description in RNAcentral is "partial 16S ribosomal RNA". It matches the Rfam family "Bacterial small subunit ribosomal RNA", at positions 338 to 795 of the family's 1533-position model. The record is from RNAcentral.